Molecule: transfer RNA, 76 nt
Filed under: Chloroflexota bacterium
Lineage: Bacteria; Bacillati; Chloroflexota
Also listed under: 1 other name
Description: tRNA-Glu
Rfam family: tRNA
About the family: Transfer RNA (tRNA) molecules are approximately 80 nucleotides in length. Their secondary structure includes four short double-helical elements and three loops (D, anti-codon, and T loops).
Source: RNAcentral
GCCCCCAUCGUCUAGUGGACUAGGACGCGGCCCUUUCAAGGCCACGACCGGGGUUCGAAUCCCCGUGGGGGCACCA